RNAcentral lists this transfer RNA (106 nucleotides) under Microcaldota archaeon. Its description in RNAcentral is "tRNA-Asn". It matches the Rfam family "tRNA". From Rfam's summary of the family: Transfer RNA (tRNA) molecules are approximately 80 nucleotides in length. Their secondary structure includes four short double-helical elements and three loops (D, anti-codon, and T loops). Further hydrogen bonds mediate the characteristic L-shaped molecular structure. tRNAs have two regions of fundamental functional importance: the anti-codon, which is responsible for specific mRNA codon recognition, and the 3' end, to which the tRNAs corresponding amino acid is attached (by aminoacyl-tRNA synthetases). tRNAs cope with the degeneracy of the genetic code in two manners: having more than one tRNA (with a specific anti-codon) for a particular amino acid; and 'wobble' base-pairing, i.e. permitting non-standard base-pairing at the 3rd anti-codon position. The record is from RNAcentral. Lineage: Archaea; Nanobdellati; Microcaldota.
GCCCUGGUAGCUCAGCUACACUCUAAGCCUUCGGGCUUUAAGUGCUGAACGGCAGAGCGACUGACUGUUAAUCAGUAGGCCGCAGGUUCGAGUCCUGCCCAGGGCG